RNAcentral lists this long non-coding RNA (392 nucleotides) under Parus major (Great Tit). Its description in RNAcentral is "lncRNA (ENSPMJG00000009874.1)". Lineage: Eukaryota; Metazoa; Chordata; Aves; Passeriformes; Paridae. The record is from RNAcentral.
UGGUGGGAGCUCCCUUGGAAUGCCCCAGGGAAUUCCCGGCCUUGGGAAGGGAGGGAAUGAGCGGAGCCGGUGGGGAACGCUGCUCCUGCUUCAUCCCAACGCAUCCGGCAGCGCGGUUAUUCCCGAUUUUUCCCGCGAAUUCCCAAGGGAUUGAUCCAGCCUGGAAAAGCGGGUCCAAGCCUCAUUCCUGGGAGCAGCCGGAAUCCGGAGCCCGCUUGGAAUGCUGCCAGGAGAAGGAGCUCGGGAAAAGGCCACGGAAGGAGCUGCCCCUUCCCAUUCCCAAUGUUUCAGAGGCGUCGUUCCCGAUACAGCUGGCGUGGGAUGCGGGAAAAUUCCUGAAAUCAGCGGGAAAUUCCCGGCUGGGAAAAUCAGGGAUGGCGGAAUUCGGCUGA